UACGGAGGGUGCGAGCGUUGCUCGGAAUCACUGGGCGUAAAGGGAGCGUAGGCGGCGUAGUAAGUCAGAUGUGAAAUCCCGGGGCUCAACCCCGGAACUGCAUCCGAUACUGCUAUGCUAGAGGAUUGGAGAGGUAGCUGGAAUUCUUGGUGUAGCAGUGAAAUGCGUAGAGAUCAAGAGGAACACUCGUGGCGAAAGCGAGCUACUGGACAAUUCCUGACGCUGAGGCUCGAAGGCUAGGGUAGCGAAAGGG
RNAcentral lists this ribosomal RNA (253 nucleotides) under uncultured bacterium. RNAcentral describes it as "partial 16S ribosomal RNA". It matches the Rfam family "Bacterial small subunit ribosomal RNA", at positions 524 to 776 of the family's 1533-position model. The record is from RNAcentral.